UCCGAUGUUUCUAAUUCAUAGUUACGAGACACACUCUUUUGGAAACUACAUGUAUUUGAAUGUCAUGAUAUGGUUCGAACAGUUCUAAAAUUUUACAAUUCUACGUUGUACUGUGACACAUUGAUGCAUAGAACUGCAUAUAGCUAGUUCAUUAUUCUGAAGCUGUUUUCAAAUCUUGGAAAUAAUGUAAUUGAAUAUAUAGUUCCUGAUAUUAACUCGAAAAAUGAUGAAACAUCGUUUUAUUUUAGUUAAAAUUUUUAUACAAUAAAACUUUUGUUUAGUCACAGUGGUUUUUAUGCUCCUAUUUCUGGACGUUGUUUAAUACCUAGAAAUGAAGAACAUAAGAUAAAUGUAUAUUAUUGAUGCUCCAUAAUUUGUAUAUUAUAUAAUCCGAUGCUGAUAAAUAUGAUAGCCUGAUUCAGUUCAGAUCAUUCUGUUUAAGAGUAUUGGUUUAAGAGAGUGUUUAAGAUAGCCUUCAUUAUGCAUCUUGCAUCACCAAAUAUAGAGUUGUCUAUCUGUUAUGAAGAAAAUACGACUCAAGAGUUGUUAUCAUGAUGAUCUUUGCAAGACCUAGUGUUACAUGUAUUGAUGUAAUACAGACAAGGCCCUUUUCAAGUUCUGUAAGUAGCUUGGAGAAGCUGGCAUGGUUUGAGAUGUAAUUUAAUACAGACAAGGCCCUUUUCAAGUUAUAUAAGUAACUUGGAGAAGCUGGCAUGGUAUAAGAUGUAGUUUGAUACAGACAAGGCCCUUUUCAAGUUCUGUAAGUAGUUUGAAGAAGCUGGCAUGGUCUGAGAUGUAGUAUGAUGCAGACAAGUCCCUUUUCAAGUUCUGUAAGUAGUUUGAAGAAACUGGCAUGGUCGGAGAUGUAGUAUGAUGCAGACAAGGCCCUUUUCAAGUUCUGUAAGUAGCUUGGAGAAGCUGGCAUGGUCUGAGAUGUUUUUUGACACAGAGAAGACCAUUUAAAAUUCAGUAAAUAGCUUGAAGAAGCUGGCAUGGUUUUAGAAGUAGUUUGAUACAGACAAAACCAUAUAAAAUUCAGUUCGUAGCUUGAAGAAGCUGGCAUGGUUUGAGAUGUAGUUUGAUACAGACAAGGCCCUUUUCAAGUUUUGUAAGUAGCUUGAAGAAGCUGGCAUGGUCUGAGAUGUAGUAUGAUACAGACAAGGUCCUUUUCAAGUUCUGUAAGUAGCUUGGAGGAACUGGCAUGGUUUGAGAUGUAGUUUGACACAGACAAGACCAUUUAAAAUUCAGUAAAUAGCUUGAAGAAGCUGGCAUGGUUUUAGAAGUAGUUUGAUACAGACAAGGCCCUUUUCAAGUUCUGUAAGUUGCUUAAAGAAGCUGGCAUGGUUUGAGAUGUAGUUUGAUACAGACAAGACCCUUUUCAAGUUCUGUAAGUAGCUUGAAGAAGCUGGCAUGGUCUGAGAUGUAGUAUGAUGCAGACAGGGUCCUUUUCAAGUUCUGUAAGUAGCUUGGAGAAGCUGACAUGGUUUGAGAUGUAGUUUGAUACAGACAAGACCAUUUAAAAUUCAGUAAAUAGCUUGAAGAAGCUGGCAUGGUUUUAGAAGUAGUUUGAUACAGACAAAACCAUAUAAAAUUCAGUUCGUAGCUUGAAGAAGCUGGCAUGGUUUGAGAUGUAGUAUGAUGCAGGCAAGACCCUUUCAAAUUCUUGAAGUAGCUUACAUGAAGCUGGAAUGGUUCAUCAUGUACAUCGUUCAUACAAUUAUGUUUUGAAAUUUUUAACUUUUUGACUAAGUUAGCAGUUUUGGAAUGUAGUAUUUACUAGUAUAUUUAGCCAAAGCCCUUUACAAGACCUACAAGUAUCUUGAUGAAGCUGGAAAAGUCCGAGAGGUAUUGUUAUGCAAACACUUCUUUUUUUUGGAUUUGUAAGUAUUUUCGAAGUUGGCAUGACCUUAAAUAUAGUUGCCUUCUUGUCUUUUCAAGGUGUGUAAAAUUAUAGUAUCUAAUUGAAGCAGGAAACUCGUUUUAUCGAUAAAUACAAGUACACAAACUUCAAAAGAUAUGCAAAAGUAUAGUGCAAUUUGUUUGAGAUGUAUUUGCAGACAUAAUAUUUAAAAUUUCAAUUGACAAAGCGAAACUACUGAACGUACGUAUUUAUUUUUUAAUAGCUUAACUACUAAUAUAACAUUGUCUUGUUUAUUCUGUAAAGGAGGCCAAAUUUGUAACGGUGCUUCUAAUAGGCACAAACUAUGUGGGAUCACAAUAUGAUUUUGAAAUUUUUGGAGCAAAGUUUUUUUCAGAUAUCUUUAGUCAGGACAGACGGACCGGAUGUUUGCAAAACUUUCAUUAAAGAAUUUGUCUGAAGACUUCCAAAGCUGCGUUUAAAUUCAAGAUUCGGACAAAUCACCUCUAGUCAAAACCAAAGAGGAAUAAUGUUUACAUUCUGGUAGGUGUAGUUCAGUUCAUUUGUCCUAUUGCUAAUAACCAAGAGAUGUAAAGAAAAGGUUAAUGAUAGUGUUUGAUCAGAUGAGUAUAAUUUAUGAUUGAUUUAAAUUUAUUUCGUAUUGUAAAAGUUAUUCUUAUGUACCUGGGAUUCACAAUCAUGUACAAGAAACAUAGAAAUUCUGAAUGCACUCAAACUUAUAAGUUUAUAUACGUAAUUUCAUUCUUCAUAGUGUUUUAACGGGGUUGCUAUCUCAACUGCAAAUGCUGUUAUGUAUGAUUCACUGAUAAGAAUCAACGUAGAAGGCUUUUUGAGUUCAUCUGAAGACGUUAUGGUUCAAGCAACAUUUUAUACGAAAUGAUAUGGAAUUCAGAAGUUAAACUAAAGACUGUGCUUUGUAUACUGUAUACACUUCAUUAAAGUCUGUUGCUCUCGCGCAUGCGAGCUCAUCCUAUAUAAAGUGUUUUUGAGUUUUAUUUAUAAAUAAUUUAUGUUCGUUUGAACUGGUGAAUU
Molecule: long non-coding RNA, 2911 nt
Organism: Saccostrea cuccullata (small rock oyster)
Lineage: Eukaryota; Metazoa; Mollusca; Bivalvia; Ostreida; Ostreidae
Exons: 3
Source: RefSeq, a predicted model, not a curated record